Molecule: small nucleolar RNA, 230 nt
Filed under: Prunus dulcis (almond)
Lineage: Eukaryota; Viridiplantae; Streptophyta; Magnoliopsida; Rosales; Rosaceae
Description: sRNA ncRNA
Source: RNAcentral
GAGUAUAGAGGAAAAAGAGAGAAAAUGGAAAUGAGAAUGAAAGUGGAAAUGAGAUUGAGAGGGAAGAUGAGAGGAGAGGAUGGAAGGGAGGAGUAACAAAAGUGAAAACAAAAACUAAAUACUGAAAUCUAUUUCAAGUUUUUGUUUUCACUUUUGUUACUCAUUCCUCUCAUCUUCUCUCUCAAUCUCAUCCUUACUCCCAUUCUUACUCUCGUUUUCCUCUAUACUCU